Molecule: long non-coding RNA, 1104 nt
Organism: Lactuca sativa (garden lettuce)
Lineage: Eukaryota; Viridiplantae; Streptophyta; Magnoliopsida; Asterales; Asteraceae
Source: RefSeq, a predicted model, not a curated record
CUCGUCUCUAACAGAAAUGUAGGCCACACCAUGCCUCAUCCACCAGUUAUCCUUAUCUUACGAUCGACACUCUUCUCCAUCUUCCUCUAAUACUACUUCGGUCACCUUCUACGGCCACCCCAUAUCUCUCCAUCUCUCUUGCCCUCUGUAUCGGUGUUACACUAGUAAAACCUAAACCCACAUUUGAUUUCUCAAUAGUGUAUAACCCUCACCUAGAACAAACCCUAAAUCACUUAGUUAAAUCGAUUUCUUUUUUAAUCACUUAGAAAUCGCCAUCAUGAUGACAACAUGCUCGAUUUCUAGAUGCUCAAUCGUUGUCACAGUGAAUAGCAAAUCUUAGGGUUAUGGUGUUGGAUAUCUGGUGAGAGGGAGGGGGGAUGAAGGAUGGAUAACGGGGGUGGGACAAGAGAUGAUGGCGUUAGUGGUGAUGAAGGUGUCAUCUCCGGUAAGAAUCGUAAGUGAAUCGGAAAUUGAGUAACCAUUAACCAAUAAUGAGAUGAUAUCUCUUCUAGAAUGAACAAAUGAUGAAACCCAUACUCAGAUUCAAACCUAUUCCAGAAAAUUGUGUCUGAAGUUCUUGUAACAUGAUGAACCAGAAUUGAGUAACCAUUGACCAACAAUGGAGACGGUGUCUCUUCUAAAUGCACAUAAGAGAAGUCAACCAUGUCAUUAUCUCCCCUUCUUCGACCAGUGGUUUUAAUGAAGGAAGAAGGAGGAUUUUUUUAGAAACACACUUAAACACCAUCAACUCCACCGGAUCAUCAAAUUUGCAUUUAUUCCGUUCACCGGAGAAGAUAACAACAACCAGAAGAAGGUAUGGUCCAAUUCACCUACGAUGUGGUUAUUCUCUUCAUUGGAGAGGUUAACAACAAAAAGAAGAAAUGUUAUGCUUUGUGAGUUGUCCGUUCUGAAACUCUGACGUUGCUUUGAUUCCAAACCCAUAUCAGAAACUCCAAUCUGAAACUCAUAUCUGAAAUUAAGGAGAGUAUUAUCCUCAAUGUUUUAAAACCUUGGUUUUUAGUCGAUCCGGUGUAAUGACCGGUUCACGGGUCGACCGGUUGAACCGCUGGUCAACCUAGUUUAUGAUCUUUUUCUAUUUCUAUA